CAAUAUCAAUUGGUAUUGGAGUCUCUUUUAUUAACUUAAUAUUCAAUUAAUUACAGAAUAUACUCCUUGUACAAAACAACUCUAACUAAGUUUGGACACUACUGUCCCUUGUUGCACAACAACAACCCUUGCACCACUGCAACCUUCAGAAUCUGCUUUGCACUAACUUAUCCGCCACUGAAUCAAUCACAAACCACAGUAGGCUUGCAUACAAUUUUUGAUUAAGAACGAAUAUUAUUACAAUAACUAUGAAUUUCUAACAACAAUAAAUUCAUAGCAAGGCAAGAUCAGAUUGCUAGAAAUUUUUCAAU
RNAcentral lists this long non-coding RNA (311 nucleotides) under Panax ginseng (ginseng). Its description in RNAcentral is "long non-coding RNA (PGIN_LNC006022)". Lineage: Eukaryota; Viridiplantae; Streptophyta; Magnoliopsida; Apiales; Araliaceae. The record is from RNAcentral.